Molecule: ribosomal RNA, 253 nt
Filed under: uncultured bacterium
Lineage: Bacteria
Description: partial 16S ribosomal RNA
Rfam family: Bacterial small subunit ribosomal RNA
Source: RNAcentral
UACGUAGGUGGCAAGCGUUGUCCGGAAUUACUGGGCGUAAAGCGCACGCAGGCGGUUUGUUAAGUCAGAUGUGAAAUCCCCGGGCUUAACCCGGGAAUUGCAUCUGAUACUGGUCAGCUAGAGUCUUGUAGAGGGGGGUAGAAUUCCAUGUGUAGCGGUGAAAUGCGUAGAGAUGUGGAGGAAUACCGGUGGCGAAGGCGGCCCCCUGGACAAAGACUGACGCUCAGGUGCGAAAGCGUGGGGAGCAAACAGG